RNAcentral lists this ribosomal RNA (442 nucleotides) under uncultured bacterium. RNAcentral describes it as "bacterial SSU rRNA". It matches the Rfam family "Bacterial small subunit ribosomal RNA", at positions 335 to 773 of the family's 1533-position model. The record is from RNAcentral.
ACUCCUACGGGAGGCAGCAGUAAGGAAUAUUGGACAAUGGGCGGAAGCCUGAUCCAGCCAUCCCGCGUGCAGGAUGACGGCCCUAUGGGGUUGUAAACUGCUUUUAUGAGAGAAGAAACGCCUUGAUUUAUUUAGGGUCUGACGGUAUCUCAUGAAUAAGCACCGGCUAACUCCGUGCCAGCAGCCGCGGUAAUACGGGAGGGUGCAAGCGUUAUCCGGAAUCACUGGGUUUAAAGGGUGCGUAGGCGGUUAGAUAAGUCAGAGGUGAAAGGUUGUCGCUUAACGAUAAAUUGCCUUUGAUACUGUUUAACUUGAAUCAGAAUGAGGUUGGCGGAAUGUGACAUGUAGCGGUGAAAUGCAUAGAUAUGUCAUGGAACACCGAUUGCGAAGGCAGCUGACUGGCACUUGAUUGACGCUGAGGCACGAAAGCGUGGGAGCGAAC